This 249-nucleotide ribosomal RNA is filed under the name uncultured bacterium. RNAcentral describes it as "partial 16S ribosomal RNA". It matches the Rfam family "Bacterial small subunit ribosomal RNA", at positions 524 to 772 of the family's 1533-position model. The record is from RNAcentral.
UACGAAGGGGGCUAGCGUUGUUCGGAAUUACUGGGCGUAAAGCGCGCGUAGGCGGUGAUCCAUGUCAGAGGUGAAAGCCCGGGGCUCAACUCCAGAACUGCCUUUGAUACUGAAGAUCUUGAGUUCGGGAGAGGUGAGUGGAACUGCGAGUGUAGAGGUGAAAUUCGUAGAUAUUCGCAAGAACACCAGUGGCGAAGGCGGCUCACUGGCCCGAUACUGACGCUGAGGCACGAAAGCGUGGGGAGCAAA